AUGCGCCGCCUAAGAAGACGCUUCAUUAAAUUGAGAAGAUUGAGCGCGACUUCUUGUGGGCCGGCCGCGCCGCCGCCAAUGGAGGCCACUGCCAUGUCAACUGGCGCUGCAUUUGCCGCCCCAUAUCGUACGGAGGCCUGGGUGUCCAAGACCUGGAGCGCGCUGGCCUUGCUCUACGGCUACGAUGGCUAUGGUUCUCGCGCACUGACCAUGAGCGCGCCUGGAAUGGCCUGGACCUACAAUUCUCUGCCGAGGAGCGAGCACUCUUCUUCGCGUCCACCACGAUGA
Molecule: ribosomal RNA, 288 nt
Filed under: Triticum aestivum (bread wheat)
Lineage: Eukaryota; Viridiplantae; Streptophyta; Magnoliopsida; Poales; Poaceae
Description: partial small subunit ribosomal RNA
Source: RNAcentral